Molecule: long non-coding RNA, 586 nt
Organism: Dioscorea cayenensis subsp. rotundata (Guinea yam)
Lineage: Eukaryota; Viridiplantae; Streptophyta; Magnoliopsida; Dioscoreales; Dioscoreaceae
Exons: 2
Source: RefSeq, a predicted model, not a curated record
AUAUACCCCAUUAACAAAGGAAGCCCAAUAUCAGUAGGACUACUUGUCUUGGGACAAAGUUAUAAGCAUACUAGCCAUGAAGCUGCUGAAAACCCUAGUUUUGCUUGUCCUGCUCAUGGCUUCAGCCAUGGCUGCAACAGAAGGCAUGCAUGAUGAGGACUGGGCAACCAUUCCUGAUGAUGGUUCGUUUGAGACUUCAGCUACAGGAAUUGGUACUGAAGCAAAAUUGAAUGGUUGGCGAGAGACUGGUAUUCACGUCAAUCUUCCUCCUCCCAAGAUAAUUAAGAAGCCAUGAAUAUAACCCAUGACCAGAGCAUGGAGCAGUGCAUAUUUUAUAUAGUUGAAGAAGAUGAAGCUAGCAGGAGCCCGUAUACCUGAUGUGUGAGUCUUGUUAGAGUCGGGCUUAUAUAUAUAUAUAUAUAUAUGCCCAAACUAGUUUGUUGAAUAAGAUGUAGCCAGUCUCUUUGUGCUGCCUUUGGCAUCUAUGCAUGCAUGCAUGCCUGCCUCUCUCUUUCAAUCUAUCUAGAGUACUUCUUGAGCUAAAUUUCAGGUAUAAUAUAUAUGUUGUGUGCUGUAUUAUGGUGCA